This 446-nucleotide ribosomal RNA is filed under the name uncultured bacterium. RNAcentral's name for it is "SSU rRNA". It matches the Rfam family "Bacterial small subunit ribosomal RNA", at positions 26 to 518 of the family's 1533-position model. The record is from RNAcentral.
AGGAUGAACGCUGGCGGUCUGCUUAACACAUGCAAGUCGAACGGAGUAGCAAUACUUAGUGGCGGACGGGUGAGUAACGCGUGAGAAUCUACCUUCAGGACGGAGACAACAGUUGGAAACGACUGCUAACCCCCGAUGUACCGAAAGGGCAAAUAUUUAUAGCCUGAAGAAGAGCUCGCGUCCGAUUAGCUAGUUGGAGAGGUAAAAGCUCACCAAGGCGACGAUCGGUAGCUGGUCUGAGAGGACGAUCGGCCACACUGGGACUGAGACACGGCCCAGACUCCUACGGGAGGCAGCAGUGGGAAUUUCCGCAAUGGGCGAAAGCCUGACGGAGCAAGACCGCGUGGGGGAAGAAGGCUCUUGGGUUGUAAACCCCUUUUCUCUGGGAAGAACGCAAUGACGGUACCAGAGGAAUCAGCAUCGGCUAACUCCGUGCCAGCAGCCGC